GACGAACGCUGGCGGCGUGCUUAACACAUGCAAGUCGAGCGGAGCGGCGAACGGGUGAGUAACGCGUGAGUAACUGCCCCCCUCUCUGGGAUAACAGUUGGAAACGGCUGCUAAUACCGGAUAGUGGGGGAUGACUCGCGUCCUAUCGGCUUGUUGGUGGGGUAGUGGCAUACCAAGGCGACGACGGGUAGCCGGCCUGAGAGGGCGACCGGCCACAAUGGGCUGAGAUACGGCCCAAAAGCCUACCGGAGGCAGCAGUGGUGAAUAUUGCACAAUCGGGGAAACCCUGAUGCAGCGACGCCGCGUGCGUGAUGCCGGCCUUCGGGUUGUAAACCUCUUUCAGCCAUGACGCGGUAGUGGCAGAAGAAGCACCGGCUAACUACGUGCCAGCCGCCGCGGUAAUAC
This 405-nucleotide ribosomal RNA is filed under the name uncultured bacterium. Its description in RNAcentral is "partial 16S ribosomal RNA". It matches the Rfam family "Bacterial small subunit ribosomal RNA", at positions 28 to 526 of the family's 1533-position model. The record is from RNAcentral.